This 253-nucleotide ribosomal RNA is filed under the name uncultured bacterium. RNAcentral's name for it is "partial 16S ribosomal RNA". It matches the Rfam family "Bacterial small subunit ribosomal RNA", at positions 524 to 776 of the family's 1533-position model. The record is from RNAcentral.
UACGGAGGGAGCUAGCGUUGUUCGGAAUUACUGGGCGUAAAGCGCACGUAGGCGGCUUUGUAAGUUAGAGGUGAAAGCCUGGAGCUCAACUCCAGAAUUGCCUUUAAGACUGCAUCGCUCGAAUCCAGGAGAGGUGAGUGGAAUUCCGAGUGUAGAGGUGAAAUUCGUAGAUAUUCGGAAGAACACCAGUGGCGAAGGCGGCUCACUGGACUGGUAUUGACGCUGAGAUACGAAAGCUAGGGGAGCAAACAGG